This 257-nucleotide long non-coding RNA is filed under the name Amborella trichopoda. Its description in RNAcentral is "long non-coding RNA (ATRI_LNC000339)". The record is from RNAcentral. Lineage: Eukaryota; Viridiplantae; Streptophyta; Magnoliopsida; Amborellales; Amborellaceae.
UUUUAUAUAAAAAUAUUCAUUCAUAAACUUAAAAGUUACUAAUUUUAAUUUCUACUUACCUAGUAAAAAAAAUUGAAAUUUUGACAUGGAUUAAUUGAUAUUGAGGGAUUGUAUCUUUGUGAUUCAUGAAUCAAAGUUUUCGGAAUUUUACGACCGAUUUUAUUUUGAUGAAAAUACUCUCUGGUGAUUGAAAAGUAGUCCCAACAUUUUAUAUUGCAAAAUUCUGUAUCUUUUGUGUGAGGGAGAGUACUUGUAAU